GGAUGCCUUGGCACUAGGAGCCGAUGAAGGACGGGACUAACACCGAUAUGCUUUGGGGAGCUGUACGUAAGCUAUGAUCCAGAGAUUUCCGAAUGGGGGAACCCAGCAUCUUUAAUAGGAUGUUACGAUUGUGUGAAUACAUAGCACAUUCGAGGUAGACGCAGAGAACUGAAACAUCUAAGUACCUGCAGGAAGAGAAAGAAAAUUCGAUUCCCUGAGUAGCGGCGAGCGAAACGGGAAAAGCCCAAACCAACAAGCUUGCUUGUUGGGGUUGUAGGACUCCAAUAUGGUCGUUCUUUCAGAUAGUCGAAUGACUUGGAAAAGUCAGUCAAAGAGGGUAAAAACCCCGUAGACGAAAUGUGGAAGACACCUAGGAGGAUCCUGAGUACGGCGGAACACGAGAAAUUCCGUCGGAAUCCGGGAGGACCAUCUCCCAAGGCUAAAUACUCCCUAGUGACCGAUAGUGAACCAGUACCGUGAGGGAAAGGUGAAAAGCACCCCGGAAGGGGAGUGAAAUAGAACCUGAAACCGUGUGCCUACAACAAGUCAAAGCCCGUUAAUGGGUGAUGGCGUGCCUUUUGUAGAAUGAACCGGCGAGUUACGAUUGCAUGCGAGGUUAAGUUGAAGAGACGGAGCCGCAGCGAAAGCGAGUCUGAAUAGGGCGUUUGAGUAUGUAGUCGUAGACCCGAAACCAUGUGAUCUACCCAUGUCCAGGUUGAAGGUGCGGUAAAACGCACUGGAGGACCGAACCCACGUACGUUGAAAAGUGCGGGGAUGAGGUGUGGGUAGCGGAGAAAUUCCAAACGAACUUGGAGAUAGCUGGUUCUCUCCGAAAUAGCUUUAGGGCUAGCCUCGGAAUUGAGAAUGAUGGAGGUAGAGCACUGUUUGGACUAGGGGCCCAUCUCGGGUUACCGAAUUCAGAUAAACUCCGAAUGCCAUUCAUUCAUAUCCGGGAGUCAGACUGUGAGUGAUAAGAUCCAUAGUCGAAAGGGAAACAGCCCAGACCACCAGCUAAGGUCCCAAAAUAUAUGUUAAGUGGAAAAGGAUGUGGGGUUGCACAGACAACUAGGAUGUUGGCUUAGAAGCAGCCACCAUUUAAAGAGUGCGUAAUAGCUCACUAGUCGAGUGACCCUGCGCCGAAAAUGUACCGGGGCUAAACAUAUUACCGAAGCUGUGGAGUACACCUUUAGGUGUAUUGGUAGGAGAGCGUUCUAAGGGCGUCGAAGGCAGAUCGUGAGGACUGCUGGAGCGCUUAGAAGUGAGAAUGCCGGUAUGAGUAGCGAAAGACAGGUGAGAAUCCUGUCCACCGAAUGACUAAGGUUUCCUGGGGAAGGCUCGUCCGCCCAGGGUUAGUCGGGACCUAAGCCGAGGCCGAUAGGCGUAGGCGAUGGAUAACAGGUUGAUAUUCCUGUACCCGUUGUUUUUGUUUGAGCAAUGGAGGGACGCAGGAGGCUAAGGAAUGCAGACGAUCGGAAAUGUCUGUCCAAGCAGUAAGUCUGAAGAGGAGUCAAAUGCUUCUUUUCUUAAGGACAAGCUGUGAUGGGGAGGGAAAUAAUAGUACCGAAGUUCCUGAUGUCACACUGCCGAGAAAAGCUUCUAGUGAGAAAACAGCGGCCCGUACCGCAAACCGACACAGGUAGUCGAGGAGAGAAUCCUAAGGUGAGCGAGAGAACUCUCGUUAAGGAACUCGGCAAAAUGACCCCGUAACUUCGGGAGAAGGGGUGCUGAUCAUACGAUCAGCCGCAGUGAAUAGGCCCAAGCGACUGUUUAUCAAAAACACAGGUCUCUGCAAAAUCGUAAGAUGAAGUAUAGGGGCUGACGCCUGCCCGGUGCUGGAAGGUUAAGAGGAGUGCUUAGCGCAAGCGAAGGUACGAAUUGAAGCCCCAGUAAACGGCGGCCGUAACUAUAACGGUCCUAAGGUAGCGAAAUUCCUUGUCGGGU
RNAcentral lists this ribosomal RNA (1941 nucleotides) under human gut metagenome. RNAcentral's name for it is "bacterial LSU rRNA". It matches the Rfam family "Bacterial large subunit ribosomal RNA", at positions 26 to 1977 of the family's 2925-position model. The record is from RNAcentral.